RNAcentral lists this unclassified non-coding RNA (5052 nucleotides) under Leishmania donovani. RNAcentral describes it as "gene:LdHU3.31.2020(CDS-product:Pyrophosphate-ener gized_vacuolar_membrane_proton_pump_1_putative)". Lineage: Eukaryota; Euglenozoa; Kinetoplastea; Trypanosomatida; Trypanosomatidae. The record is from RNAcentral.
CCAAACACAGUAGUAUUCUCGACCAGUAAGAUAUCGCCUUUCUUCUUUUGCUCUUUCUUGUGCAUCCCCUCCCCUAUAUACGACGUAGGAAUUCUCUGCACACCCUUUUGUGGCUCUUUUUCUUCUUAGCGAGCGUAAAGAUGGCUGGGAGGAUUUUGAUUGUCCCUCUUGCCGUUGCUCUCCUCGCGGUCGCAGUUGCGGCCAAGGAACCACUGAAUCCGAUUGCGACGCCGGCAAAUACCAACGUAGACAAAGCCGUUGCCCAGAAUGCAGGGGACAUUAACGCGGCGCCGUUAGCGCGCCCGCUGAUGUCGGCUGAGACGGCUUCCGUUGUGAUUGUCCUGGCGGCGGCAGUGGGCUUCUCCUUUGCCAUGUACUGGUGGUACGCCCUGUCAUUCAUCAAGAUUACCCCUGGUAAGGAUCAGGGCCUGCGCAAUGCCCAUCUCACGGACGAGGUGAUGCGCAACGUGUACGUAAUUUACACUCGCAUAUCCGAAGGCGCCACAGCGUUCUUGAUGUCCGAGUACAAGUACAUGGCCGUGUUCAUGUCUGGCUUCGGCACGCUGAUCUUCUUCCUUCUCGGCAUCGCGCUCUCUUCGCCUCAGGAGGGCCACGUGCCGCCGCAGUCCCCAUGGAUGAACGCUAGCCUCUCCCUGUUUGCUUUCCUGGUGGGUGCAGUCACGUCGGUGGGGGCAGGCUGGAUCGGCAUGCGCAUUGCCGUGUACACGAACGCGCGCACGGCUGUGAUGGCGACUUCUGGCGGCGAUGACGGCGAUCAGGCCAGCGGUUUUAGGCUCGGCUUCCAGACGGCUCUCCGCGGCGGUAUCACGAUGGGCUUUGGCCUCACUUCGAUGGGUCUCUUCGCGCUAUUCGCCACCGUGAAGGUUGUGGCGGCGUACUUUGGCAGCGGUGUCGAGACGAUACCGGAGCUGUACGAAUGCGUGGCGGCGUUUGGCCUUGGCGGGUCGGCCAUCGCCUGCUUCGGUCGUGUGGGUGGCGGCAUCUACACCAAGGCUGCCGAUGUUGGAGCUGAUCUUGUGGGCAAGGUGGAGAACAAUAUCCCUGAGGACGACCCGCGCAACCCUGGCGUGAUUGCCGACUGCAUUGGCGACAACGUGGGUGACAUCGCUGGCAUGGGCUCUGACCUCUUUGGCAGCUUCGGCGAGGCGUCAUGCGCUGCGCUCGUAGUGGCGGCCGGCUCUGCUGAGUUGACAGCCUCUUUCACAUCCAUGAUGUACCCGCUGCUCAUCACGGCCGUCGGUGUGAUCGUGUGCAUUGUAGUGGCCACUAUGGGCGCCACCAAUAGCGGCGUGCACCGCUCUCACGACAUCGAGCCGGCCCUGAAGCGUCAGUUGCUGUUGUCGACGAUCGGCGCGACAAUUGUGCUGAUCUUUCUCACCGAAGUGGCGCUGCCGCCGACCUUCAGCGUGGGCGGCAUGGAGAGCUCGCGCUGGGGCGCCCUCAUCUGCGUCCUGUGCGGUCUCUGGUCUGGCCUUAUCAUCGGCUACACAACCGAGUACUACACCUCCAAUGCCUACCGCCCAGUGCAGGAGAUUGCGGAGGCAUGCGAGACAGGUGCCGCCACGAACAUCAUCUACGGCCUGGCACUCGGUUACCUUUCUGUGGUGCCCCCAAUCCUCGCCAUGUGCACGACGAUCUAUGUGUCCUACCGCAUGUGCGGCGUGUACGGCUUUGCCCUCGCCGCGCUCGGUAUUCUCUCGACCAUGUCCGUCGCCCUGACGAUCGACGCGUACGGUCCCAUUUCCGAUAACGCCGGCGGUAUUGCGGAGAUGUCGCACAUGGGCCACGAGAUUCGCGAGAUCACGGAUGCACUGGAUGCGGCUGGCAACACAACCGCUGCCAUCGGCAAGGGCUUCGCCAUUGGUUCGGCUGCGCUUGUCGCGCUGGCACUCUACGGCGCCUACGUGUCGCGUGUGGCGAUCCCCGUGGUGAACAUCCUCGACUCGCGCGUGAUGCCUGGUCUGCUCUUCGGCGCCAUGCUGCCGUACUGGUUCUCCGCAAUGACGAUGAAGUCUGUCGGCGUUGCGGCCAUGGACAUGGUGAACGAAAUCCGCCGUCAGUUCCAGGACCCUGAAGUGGCUGAGGGCCGCAAGGAGCCAGACUACGAGAGCUGCGUGGCCAUUGCCACUAAGGCUGCUCUGAACCAGAUGAUUCCGCCGGCGGCGCUGGUGAUGCUGUCCCCGAUCGUGGUUGGCAUUCUCUUCGGGAAGUACACUCUGGCCGGUCUGCUGCCCGGCGCGAUCGUGUCAGGCGUGCAGAUGGCUAUCUCGGCCUCCAACACCGGCGGUGCGUGGGACAACGCGAAGAAGUAUAUUGAGCAGGGUGGCCUGCGUGACAAAAACAAGGGCAAAGGCUCCCCGCAGCACGGCGCCGCCGUCAUCGGUGACACCGUCGGCGACCCGCUCAAGGAUACCUCAGGCCCGGCGCUCAAUAUUCUCAUCAAGCUCAUGGCCAUCAUUUCCGUUGUGUUUGCACCGGUGUUCCAGUCGAAGAUGGGCGGUAUUGUGCUGAACCUUAUCGAGUAGGCCUGAGGGUGCUGUGGACAGGCUUGCCUCGCAGCCUACGGAAAUGCCACGGCGCCAGCCUCUUGUGUGUCGCUGUCUCUCUCUCUCUACAUUUGUGCACACCGCCAUUCUGCUCCUAGUACCACGACUCGGGUCUUUUUUUUCUCCAUGAGAGAGUUGUCACCCGAUGACCACAUUCACGAAUGCCCACACAUUAUGGUCGAAGCACGAAUCGUCGGAAGAUGCGAGGGGGAGUAGCAAAAAAGGGUUGCGCGUGUUUGUUGAUGUGAGUGGUGCCCCCCUUUUCCCCCUUUUCCCCCUUUUGCCGCAUCUUAGUCGCCACUCGCACCGUGAGGCCGGACUGUCCUCCUUUUUUCUUCUCGUGUACUCUGCCCUUCUCUUCCUUUCGUUUGUUUUUAUAUGCGUGCCGAGCUGGAAAGGACACACGCACACGCACGCACAGGAAAUCACGAACAGCGACACGAACGAACCCCUUCUUCCGCCCGUUCUUUUUUCGUGUUUUUUUUUCUGUGUUGCUAUUACUGUCUUGUCACCUCUUCUCUCAGCCCAGCCGAUUCCGUCGAGACGGAGAUGACUGUGGCCGAAGCAGAAGGGAGGGGACGAAAGAGGACGCCAAUGACCGGAGUAAUUCGUGAGCGAGUGCGUCGGCUGGGUGGGUGAAGGAGAGGAAGGAAAGCGACGGGUUAGGUGGGAGCCCAUGUAUCCAAUCGCUGGGCAUGGCAUACCCCCACCCCUUGUCGCUUCCACCUCUUUUUUUUGUAUCGUUGGCCUACUUUGCUUCUCUUUCGCCCUUUCUCUCUUUCACUCUCUCCCACUCUCGCUCUCACACCCAACCUACUCACGCUUCAGUUUUAUAUACAGGCAUCGACUGUCAUCACGCGCGCGCCGUUUCUUCUCUCCUGUUUUUCCUUUUCCCUUUUUUGUUUUCCUUGUGUAUCUUCUUCUUUUUCGCCUCUCCUCAUUUCGCCAUAUCUGCACCUCUGGGUGUCUGUGCCUGUGCGCGUCUUUGUGUCUGCGCGCCCCCCUCUCCUUUUUCUUUCUUGGAGGAGGGAGGAGAAGGGGUGGCCUGUCUUCCGUGCGUAUCGCUGCGUUCUCUGUUCUCGUCUUCUUCGUUGCGCUCCACCUUUGUUUUCGCUGUGCGCAGGUCCUCCUACCCUUCGCCGCGUUUUCUUACCCGUCCCGUGUCCUCUCGCGGCAUCGCCGGCUGGUGGAGGUCUCUUCCCCCCCCUCCCCCAAAAAAAAAAUAAAUAAAACCGCUACACUUAUGUGGGAGUGCACCACCUCGAUUUAAAGCCACCGGCGUCAGCCCGACAGCGGAGCGAGAGCGGAAACUGCCUGCGGUGUUGUCAUGCAUUUCUCCCGUAACAGCCUGUGACAAAAGACGGCGCGGAAAAGUUGACCGGCGACGGGGACGUGGCACAACAACCCACACUGUGAAGCAGGGAGGAGACCACACGCAAGAACAGGGCACUGAAAGCAGCUAGUGGGGUGGGUGGGUGGGUGGGGCAGAUCCAUCUUCGACGUCGUGGCACGAUAGAGAGGCUCCUUUCACCUACAAACUGAUAUUCGCUUGUGUGCGCGUAGGUCUGCGUGCGCGAAUGUCUGCCGUGCAAGUGGAAGAGGAUUGGCCUUCGCCAUGUAAAGACACUCCACGCACCUUUUUUGUUUAUUUACCAUGUGUGGGCACGCAUCGUUUUCCUCGCUCGAGACACAUCAGGCCUCGCCAGAGUGUUCCUCUUGAUUCUCAUGCCAACUCUCGCCGUGUAUGUGCGUGCUGUGUGUCCUGCGGCUUUGAACUCGCGUGCUGCGCUUGGACUGAGCAGACAGGUGCUGCAGUGAGAGAACACGGGCUGUGCUGGCGGUGGCGGAAAUAAAUCGAAGGAAACGAAGACAGAUAAGGUGUCAGCCUGAACGAGACACACAAAAGGGGCGCUGCACACCCUCUCAACUUCUUUUUCUUGGUUUCUUCCCCCUUAUGCGCCCUGUGAUCCUGAUGACGGGGGACACACUUCUGCGCGUGGCAUCAGGGUUCCGUACACCACUCUGUGGGGGACGCCAAGCGGCCUGCAGCCUGGCCCUGGGUGCUGGUUGCGGACUGUUGGUGUGGGCGGACAGAGGGCUGCGCUGGCGCUGCGCCGGAGACACUGGCGGGCGUGGCGGCACACGCGGGCAGGCCAUCCAGGCACGCCUCCCUCCCUCCCUCAGGCAGCAGUGCCGUGGUGGAACGGGCUCAUGGGCGCUGCCCCGGCUGGUGCGACGCGUGCAGCCCACGCAGGUGCGUGUGGCGCCGGUGGAGCAGCGCGCAUCCGGGGGAAGAGCGAGAGGAGCCUGCUAGGCGCGUGGCCCGGCUCGAUGGCGGGACGCCUCGUCCUGAAUCUCGAGGGCUGAGCCGUAUGCAUGCGAAGGUAGGUGAGCUGUGGCUGUAUCCGCAUGUGCGAGGGUCUGCUUGUGGUUUAAUGACGCUUUACUUUGCGCUUUCACUCACUGUGCUCAUUCUGCUUCACAG